This 806-nucleotide ribosomal RNA is filed under the name uncultured bacterium. RNAcentral's name for it is "bacterial SSU rRNA". It matches the Rfam family "Bacterial small subunit ribosomal RNA", at positions 68 to 868 of the family's 1533-position model. The record is from RNAcentral.
GAUCCAUACUGAAACCUAGUGAUGUAUGGAUUAGUGGCGGACGGGUGAGUAACGCGUGGAUAACCUGCCGUAUACAGGGGGAUAACACUUAGAAAUAGGUGCUAAUACCGCAUAAGCGCACGGUUCCGCAUGGAACAGUGUGAAAAACUCCGGUGGUAUACGAUGGAUCCGCGUCUGAUUAGCCAGUUGGUGGGGUAACGGCCCACCAAAGCGACGAUCAGUAGCCGGCCUGAGAGGGUGAACGGCCACAUUGGGACUGAGACACGGCCCAAACUCCUACGGGAGGCAGCAGUGGGGAAUAUUGCACAAUGGGGGAAACCCUGAUGCAGCGACGCCGCGUGAGUGAAGAAGUAUUUCGGUACGUAAAGCUCUAUCAGCAGGGAAGAAAAAAAGUCCUUUGGACUUUGGACGGUACCUGACCAAGAAGCCCCGGCUAACUACGUGCCAGCAGCCGCGGUAAUACGUAGGGGGCAAGCGUUAUCCGGAUUUACUGGGUGUAAAGGGAGCGUAGACGGCAGCGCAAGUCUGGAGUGAAAUGCCGGGGCCCAACCCCGGAACUGCUUUGGAAACUGUGCAGCUCGAGUGCAGGAGAGGUAAGCGGAAUUCCUAGUGUAGCGGUGAAAUGCGUAGAUAUUAGGAGGAACACCAGUGGCGAAGGCGGCUUACUGGACUGUAACUGACGUUGAGGCUCGAAAGCGUGGGGAGCAAACAGGAUUAGAUACCCUGGUAGUCCACGCCGUAAACGAUGAUUACUAGGUGUCGGGGGGCCAAGGCCCUCCGGUGCCGGCGCAAACGCAUUAAGUAGU